Zonotrichia albicollis (white-throated sparrow) is the source of this 2105-nucleotide long non-coding RNA. The record is from Ensembl. Lineage: Eukaryota; Metazoa; Chordata; Aves; Passeriformes; Passerellidae.
GGGGUGGCACUUGGGGACACCUGGAUGGGAUUUGGUGGCAGCUUGGGAGCACUUUGGGGACACCUCAGGUGGCAUCUGGGAGCUCUUGGUGGCACCUUGGGACACCUGGGGACACUUUGGGCACAAUUGGAUGGCACUUGGGGACACCUGGAGGCAUCUGGGGACACUUUGGGGACACCUGGAUGGGAUUUGGUGACACUGGGUUGGCAUUUGGUGGCACCUUGGGGACACUUGGGUGGCACCUUGGGACACCUGGAUGGCACCUGGGGACACUUUGGGGACGCUUGGAUGGCACUUGAGGAUGUCUAGGUGGCACUUGGGGACAUCUGGAUGGCAUCUGGGGACACCUUGGGGACACUUUAGGGACACCUUGGGGACAUUGGGGUGGCACCUGCGGGCUCCUGGUGGCACCUGGGGACUCUUGGGGACAACUGGGGACACUUGGAUGGCAGCUGGGGACCUUGGGGACACUCUGGGGACCUUGGGGGCACUUUGGGGACCUUGGGGGCACUUUGGGGACACCUGGUGGUGGGGACACCUGGAUGGCACCUGGGUGUCGCCUCAUUGUCUCUUGUCAUCUGUUUGUCCUGAUUGCCACCUCUUUGUCACCUGUUUGUCACCUCACUGCCACCUGUUUGUCCCCUCAUUGUCCCCUUGCUCUCGCGUGUUUGUCCCCUCAUUAUCACCUGUUUGUCACCUGAUUGUCACCUGUUUGUCCACUCAUUGUCACCUGUUUGUCACCUUGUUCUCACCCAUUUCUCACCUGUUUGUCCCCUCAUUGUCUCCUCAUUGUCCCCUGUUUGUCACCUGGUUCUCACCCAAUUGUCACCUGUUUGUGCCCUCCUUGUCCCCUCAUUGUCCCCUGGUUCUCACCUGUUUGUCCCCUCAUUGUCCCCCGUUUCUCACCUGUUUGUCCCCUCAUUGUCCCCUGUUUCUCACCUCAUUGUCCCCUGUCUGUCCCCUGUUUGUCCCAUCAUUGUCCCCCGUUUCUCACCUGUUUGUCCCCUCAUUGUCCCCUGUUUCUCACCUCAUUGUCCCCUGUCUGUCCCCUGUUUGUCCCCUCAUUGUCUCCAGUUUCUCACCUNCAGACCCAAAUUUUAGAGCCUUCAAAGACCCCAGACCCAAUUGAGGAUCUCUCAGAUCUCUGAUUUCUCAUGGGUUAUACUGGGAGAAAAAGGGUUGAGACCCCUCCCUAAAUUAGGGACAGACCCUCGAGACCCCAGACCCAAAUUCCAGAUCUCUCCCAGGACCCCAGACCCAAAUUUGGUCCCUCCCCUGAGCCCCCAGACCCAAAUUUGGUCCCUCCCAGAGACCCCAGACCCAAUUUGGGACCUGUCAGUUCUCUCCUUUCUCCUGGGGUGUAUUGGUAGAAAAGGUGCUGAGACCCUUCCCCAAAUUAGGAAGAAAGCCUCUGAGACCCCUCCCCAAAUUCCCUGAGACCCCAGACCCAAAUUUGGUCCCUCCCUGAGACCCCAGACCCAAUUUGGGACCCCCUCAAGUGAAAUGGGGACCUCGCAGAUCUCUCCUUUCUCCUGGAGUAUUUUGGGACAAGCACCCAUGAGACCCCUCCCCAAAUUUGGGACAGACGCUCAAGACCCCAGACCCAAAUUUGGUCCCUUCCAGAGACCCCAGACCCACUUUAGGAUCUCUCAGAUCUCUCCUUUCUGCUGACUCAUAUUGGGAUAAAAUGCAGUGAGACCCCUCCCCAAAUUCGGGAUACACCCCUGAGACCCCAGACCCAAAUUCCAGACUCCUCCCAGGACCCCAAACCCAAAUUUGGGACCCCUCAGAGCCCCCAGACCCAAUACCUUUCCCCAUUCCCCUCCACUUUUCCCACUGCCAUUUCCCACCACCCUCCCUUUAAUCCCCAAUUAAUUAACCACACUCUUCUAGAGACCCCAGACCCAAAUUUGGUCCCUCCCUGAGACCCCAGACCCAAUUUGGGACCUGUCAGAUCUCUCCUUUCUAUUGCAGUAUAUUGGGACAAGCAGCCAUGAGACCCCUCCCCAAAUUCACUAUACACCCUCAAGACCCCAGACCCAAACUCUCACCCCAAUUCCAGACUCUCCCAGAGCCCCCAGACCCAAUUCCUUCCCCCAUUCCCC